Rattus norvegicus (Norway rat) is the source of this 2061-nucleotide non-coding RNA. The record is from RefSeq and is a predicted model, not a curated record. NCBI's taxonomy places the organism in Eukaryota, Metazoa, Chordata, Mammalia, Rodentia, Muridae.
AUCAUCUGAGUUUGGUGUUUGCUUACAAAAUGGAUCUCAUUGUAAUGUGGUUUUUGGGUGGCCUUUCCUUAAGCUUCUGCUCCAUUUUUGUCACUGCAUUUCUUAAGACAGGCACAAGUCUGCACUGAAUGUUUUUAAAUGGGUGGGUGAACCCAUUCCUCCACUAGAGGCCAUAACUAUCUACUAGAUAUUGUCUCUUAAGAUCCAUCCCCCUGCUCUUAGUUAUUUCAGCUAAGGUCAUCAGUAUUGGAUCCUGGAAGCAUCUUGUAUCCCUGGUGUCUAGGCCCACUCUAACCUUCACAGAUUCCACAAUCCAACAAUAGGAAACUGAACCUGCAUUUUAAAAUACAUUUAUAGGAAAAUUAGUUUCCUGGUUGUGUUUGUUACUUUGUUGCUGUUGUUGUUUUCUCAUUAUCUAAUUGACACAAACUAAAGUUAACUGAGAAGAAUGAAUAAAUACCAUUUGGCAAAAUGUCUCCAUAUGAUGUGUCUGUGGCCAAGCCUACGUGACCUUUUUUAAAUUACUGAUUGAUCUCGGAGGGGCCAGCCCAUUAUGAGUGGUGCCAUCCCAGGGCAACUGACACUGUACUUACCUCGUAAGCAAGCAGGCUAAGAAUGCUAUGGGGAGCAAGUCAGUAAGCAUCAUGAUUCUUAUGUGUCCUCUGCUUUAAUAUGUACAUCCUACUUCCUGCCUUGAUUCCUUGCCUUGUCUUCCCUGAUUUAUGAUAUUGCCCUCUAAUCUGACAUAUAUUUACUCCACAAGUUGCCUUCCAUUAUGGUGUUUUUUCAUAGCAAUAGAAAUCUUAAGACAGAAAUUGACUAUGGAGAGACAAGUCCAAUUGAGGCAAAACCUGAGAAAGAUUUUCUAGGAUGAGUAUACAAAAGCCGAGACACAGAGAGCUCCAAAGAUGUUCCUUGUGCUGGUGGUCUGAGUAAUGUAUAGGUUUCCCAGAUUAUACUUGCUUCAGAGACAUGAAAGGGUCAUAAAGGGCAUGAGAAAACAAUGAUUAAGAUGAAGUCAGUUGCAUAAAAAGCCCCAUCAUUAAUGUUGCAGUGGUGAAGAGCUGAAGCUCAGAACUGGUGUGGUAGGGUUCCUAAUCCCUGAAGAAAUCUAUGUGAAUGUGCAGAGAGCCUCUGUCAAGCUGAACAGGGAUAACAACAAUGGAUAUGUUAAAGUGGAUGAGAAAAAUCUCAUGAGAUUUCAACCAUACACAAAGAACCAUAUGCAACUGAAGAAAGGUGAGAAGAGGAGAAAUUGCAUUUCCAUGGGAGGAACACAACAAUUGAUUGUCCGUUGACUAAAGCUAGAUAAGAAAUCCACAUUAUAUAACUUUAUGAGCACCAAGAAUCCUUGUUUGUGUGUCUCUUCAAGACAAGCUUUUAUUAAACAGCUUCAGGGUUGAAAGAAAAAUAUUUAUAGCAGAGAUCUCCAGAGCUAAUAAUACAACCAAGCAGAUACAUAUGGAAAAAUUGAAUGGAAGUCCUUGAUCAGGUACUGAUCUUUCAAGAAUUCUAUCUUAUUUAUUUUUCAUGCUUAAACUGAGACAUUUGGAUUCUGGGAGGAAGACUGCUACACAAUAUGAAAAGGAAACAUGUUGUCAGCAUAGAGGAGACAUCACAAGCCAUAUCCUACAAGAAAGAUCAGAGGAAGAGAAUGAACAACUUCACCCUCACUGUCUCAUCAGGGGACAGACUGCAUACUUUCUCAGCGUGAAAUAUCUUGUGAAAAAUUUGACCCCCUCCCCUGGAAAAUCUGGAUAAAGGAAUUUUGAUUGUGCUUGUGCUGCAGCUUGAGUCAACAAGAAGAUUCAAAGUGAUGGUGAAGAGAGGAGUGACUUACCCUAAAUUCAAAAGAAUCAUCACUAAGAAAGCAUAAAGGAAAUAAGAGCUAGUCAUUUAAAGCAGUCAAGUCACUGGAAGAGCUAACAAAGUUAUUAAUAUUGCAAAGUAGAGCAUUCUGUGUGUUAGAGGGAUGGCAAGGAGCCUUCAUUAGCUGGAGUAGGAUGAGUCCAGACAAAAUGAAUAGGAAAUGCCAUUGGGGAGAUAAAAACUGAAAUAUCA